UUUCUAAUGGCUAAUGACGUUGAGCAUUUCUUUAAGUGUUUCUCUGCCAUUCGAUAUUCCUCUACAGAGAGUUCUCUGUUUAGCUCUGUUUCCCAUUUUUUAAUUGGAUUACUUGGUUUGCUGUUUUUCAGCUUCUUUAGUUCUUUAUAUAUACUGGAUAUUAGUCCUCUGUCAGAUAAAGGGUUGGUGAAGAUUCUUUCCCAAUCUGUAGGCAGUCGUUUUGUUUUGAUGAUGGUGUCCUUUGAUUUACAGAAGCUUUUCAGUUUCAUGAGGUCCCAUUUAUUGGUUGUUGCUCUUAGAGCCUGUGCUGUUGGUGUUCUGUUCAACAAGUUGUCUCCAAUGAGUUCAAGGCUCUUCCCCACUUUUUCUUCUAAGCAAUUUAGUGUGUCUCGUUUUAUGUUGAGGUCUUUGAUCCACUUGGACUUUAGUUAUGUGCAGGAUGAUAAGUAUGGAUCUAUUUGCAUUUUUCUACAUGUAGACAUCUAGUUAGACCAGCACCAUUUGUUGAAGAUGCUAUCUUUUCUCCAUUGUAUGGUUUUGGCAUCUUUGUCAAAGAUCAGGUGUCCAUAAGUAUGUGUGUUUAUUUCUGGGUCCUCUGUUCGGUUCCAUUGAUCCACCAUUCUGUUUCUAUGCCAGUACCAUGCAGUUUUUAUAACUGUUGCUCUAUAGUAUAGCUUAAGAUCAGGGAUGGAGAUACCUCCAGAAGAUCUUUUAUUGUAGAGGAUUGUUUUAGCAAUUCUGGGUUUCUUGUUAUUUCAUAUGAAGUUGAGGAUUUUUCUUUUCAGGUCUGUAAAAAAUUGUGUUGGCAAUCUGAUGGGAAUCUCAUUGAAUUUGUAGAUUGCUUUUGGUAAGAUGGCCAUUUUGACUAUGUUAAUCCUGCCAAGCCAUGAGCAUGGCAGAUCUUUCCAUCUUCUGAUAUCUUCUUCUGAUUCUUUCUUCAGAGACUGGAAAUUUUUUUUCUUCACAUAAUUCUUUGACUUGCUUGGUUAGGGUUACUCCAAAGUACUUUAUGUCCUUUGUGGCUAUUGUGAAGGGUGUUGUUUCCUAAUUUCUUUCUCAGCCCUUUUGUGUUUUGUAUACAGGAGGGCUACUGAUUUUUUUGAGUUAAUUUUGUAUCCUGCCACUUUGCUGAAGGUGUUUAUCAGUUGUAGGAGUUCCCUGGUAGAGUUUUUGGGGUCACUCACAUAUACUAUCAUAUCAUCUGCAAAUAAUGAUAAUUUGAUUUCUUCCUUUCCAAUUUGUAUCCCCUUGAUCUCCUUCAACUGUCUUAUUGCGCUAUCAAGGACUUCCUGAACUAUGUUGAAGAAAUAUGGAGAGAGUGGGCAGCCUUGCCUUGUCCCUGAUUUCAGUGGGAUUGCUGUAUGUUUCUCUCUGUUCAGUUUGAUGUUGGCUAUAGGCUUGCUGUAUAUCACCUUUACUAUGUUUAGAUAUGUGCCCUGUAUCCCUAAUCUCUCCAAUACUUUAAACAUGAAUGGAUGUUGGAUUUUGUCAAAUGCUUUUUCAGCAUCUAGGGAGAUUAUCAUGUGUUUCUUUCUUUCAGGUUGUUAAUAUGGUGGAUCACAUUGAUGGAUUUCCGUAUAUUGAACCACCCCUGCAUACCUGGGAUGAAGCCUAUUUGGUCAUAGUGGAUGAUAUCUUUGAUGUGUUCUUGUGUUCAGUUUGCAAGUAUUUUGUUGAGUAUUUUUGCAUCAAUGUUCAUAAGGGAGAUUGGUUUGAAAUUCUCUUUCUUUGUUGGGUCUGUGCGGUUUAGGUACCAAGGUGACUGUGGCUUCAUAGAAUGAGUUUGGUAAUGUUUCUUCUGUUUUUAUUUUGUGGAAUAGUUUGAAGAGAACUGGAGUUGGCUUUUCUUUGAAGGUCUGGUAGAAUUCUGUGCUGAAACCAUCUGGUCCUGGGCUGUUUUUGGAUGGGAGACUUUCGAUGACCCCUUCUACUUCCUUGGGGGAUAGAGGACUAUUUAAUUGAUUUACCUGGUCCUGAUUCAGCUUUGAUGUGAACUUCACAGGUGCCUGGUGUCUGUGGUAGUCAGAAGAGAGCAUCAGAUCACCUAGAAUUGGAGUUAUGGUUGUUAGGAGCUGCCAUGUGAGUGCUGGGGACCAAACCUGUGUCCUUUCUAAGAACAGCCAGUGCUGUGGUAGCAGCUGCCUCUCCAGCCACCAGUUUUGGCUCAGCGCUUUGCGCUUUGUGUAGCUCAGGUGUUUGUGACCUCCUCCACUGAGGACCAGCCACUGGGAGCAGCUUUUACUGCCCUGAAAGCAAUUCCAGAGGCCUUAACACUGAGAGUUUCAGGAAUGAAGUGGGGUUCUGCUCUGCCAAGGGAGCUGUAGAAGGAUGUCUUUCCAAUUGUAAAGCAAACCAGUUUUCCUUCCUUCCUCACAAUGUGCAAAGACAUCUCCAUUGGACACCACAACAAUGGCCCCUGGAUGAGUUCAGUACAGUCAGGGGAGAUCAUCAGGCCUGUGAUGUGGACCUGUUACAUUUACUGUGGAGACAGAUGCAUCCAAGAGACCGUGGUGUAGUCCUCCUAUGCACCAAAGACUUCCUACUCUGCAAAGUUGGGCUGGCUGGGAAAGGGGACCUUCAGCAUGGUCCUCACCAGCUUUUGUAGGCUGAACUUUUAUCCUUUAGCCUUAUGUCUACACCAUUGGCUUCUGAGAUCUCUGCCCAGGCUUGUUUCAAAAUGGAACAUGGAUGAAAAGAGGCUUGGCAUCAUUGACACUAUCAAGUCAAGCUGUCAAACUAAAUGGGCUUCUGGAGGACACUUCAAAAGAGGCUGCAAGACAACUUAAUGUGUGACACAGAGCAGACUGGGUAUGAAGGUGUGGGUGUAGAAGUCUGUAAAAUUAAGCAUGGUAGUUUCCAAUGUUAAAUAAA
Molecule: long non-coding RNA, 2871 nt
Organism: Psammomys obesus (fat sand rat)
Lineage: Eukaryota; Metazoa; Chordata; Mammalia; Rodentia; Muridae
Exons: 3
Source: RefSeq, a predicted model, not a curated record